GAUGAACGCUGGCGGCGUGCCUAAUACAUGCAAGUCGAGCGAAUGGAUUAAGAGCUUGCUCUUAUGAAGUUAGCGGCGGACGGGUGAGUAACACGUGGGUAACCUGCCCAUAAGACUGGGAUAACUCCGGGAAACCGGGGCUAAUACCGGAUAACAUUUUGAACCGCAUGGUUCGAAAUUGAAAGGCGGCUUCGGCUGUCACUUAUGGAUGGACCCGCGUCGCAUUAGCUAGUUGGUGAGGUAACGGCUCACCAAGGCAACGAUGCGUAGCCGACCUGAGAGGGUGAUCGGCCACACUGGGACUGAGAGCGGGCCCAGACUCCUACGGGAGGCAGCAGUAGGGAAUCUUCCGCAAUGGACGAAAGUCUGACGGAGCAACGCCGCGUGGGUGAUGAAGGCUUUCGGGUCGUAAAACUCUGUUGUUAGGGAAGAACAAGUGCUAGUUGAAUAAGCUGGCACCUUGACGGUACCUAACCAGAAAGCCACGGCUAACUACGUGCCAGCCGCCGCGGUAA
RNAcentral lists this ribosomal RNA (515 nucleotides) under uncultured bacterium. RNAcentral describes it as "partial 16S ribosomal RNA". It matches the Rfam family "Bacterial small subunit ribosomal RNA", at positions 28 to 523 of the family's 1533-position model. The record is from RNAcentral.